CAAGUCCACUAGGGGUGUCGUUAGACUGAGAGAGGAGUGAUCCUCAACUCUAAGAACCUGAUCUGGUUAGUACCAGCGUAGGGAACGUGUGACAGAUACGGG
Molecule: non-coding RNA, 102 nt
Organism: Bacillus sp. FJAT-27231
Lineage: Bacteria; Bacillati; Bacillota; Bacilli; Caryophanales; Bacillaceae
Source: Rfam